RNAcentral lists this non-coding RNA (29 nucleotides) under Rattus norvegicus (Norway rat). Lineage: Eukaryota; Metazoa; Chordata; Mammalia; Rodentia; Muridae. The record is from RNAcentral.
UNGUGGUGUGCUCACCUUGAUUCACUGAG